UACGUUCCCGGGCCUUGUACACACCGCCCGUCACACCGCGAAAGUCGGCAAUACCCGAAGCCGGUGGCCUAACCCGUAAGGGAGGGAGCCGUCGAAGGUAGGGUCGAUGAUUGGGGUG
This 118-nucleotide ribosomal RNA is filed under the name uncultured bacterium. RNAcentral's name for it is "partial 16S ribosomal RNA". It matches the Rfam family "Bacterial small subunit ribosomal RNA", at positions 1367 to 1482 of the family's 1533-position model. The record is from RNAcentral.